Molecule: ribosomal RNA, 1016 nt
Filed under: Salmonella enterica
Lineage: Bacteria; Pseudomonadati; Pseudomonadota; Gammaproteobacteria; Enterobacterales; Enterobacteriaceae
Also listed under: 4 other names
Description: partial 23S ribosomal RNA
Rfam family: Bacterial large subunit ribosomal RNA
Source: RNAcentral
GACUCGUCACACUAUCAUUAACUGAAUCCAUAGGUUAAUGAGGCGAACCGGGGGAACUGAAACAUCUAAGUACCCCGAGGAAAAGAAAUCAACCGAGAUUCCCCCAGUAGCGGCGAGCGAACGGGGAGGAGCCCAGAGCCUGAAUCAGCAUGUGUGUUAGUGGAAGCGUCUGGAAAGGCGCGCGAUACAGGGUGACAGCCCCGUACACAAAAGCGCAUGUGCUGUGAGCUCGAUGAGUAGGGCGGGACACGUGGUAUCCUGUCUGAAUAUGGGGGGACCAUCCUCCAAGGCUAAAUACUCCUGACUGACCGAUAGUGAACCAGUACCGUGAGGGAAAGGCGAAAAGAACCCCGGCGAGGGGAGUGAAAAAGAACCUGAAACCGUGUACGUACAAGCAGUGGGAGCACAGGUUUACCUGUGUGACUGCGUACCUUUUGUAUAAUGGGUCAGCGACUUAUAUUCUGUAGCAAGGUUAACCGAAUAGGGGAGCCGGAGGGAAACCGAGUCUUAAUUGGGCGUUAAGUUGCAGGGUAUAGACCCGAAACCCGGUGAUCUAGCCAUGGGCAGGUUGAAGGUUGGGUAACACUAACUGGAGGACCGAACCGACUAAUGUUGAAAAAUUAGCGGAUGACCUGUGGCUGGGGGUGAAAGGCCAAUCAAACCGGGAGAUAGCUGGUUCUCCCCGAAAGCUAUUUAGGUAGCGCCUCGUGAAUUCAUCUCCGGGGGUAGAGCACUGUUUCGGCUAGGGGGCCAUCCCGGCUUACCAACCCGAUGCAAACUGCGAAUACCGGAGAAUGUUAUCACGGGAGACACACGGCGGGUGCUAACGUCCGUCGUGAAGAGGGAAACAACCCAGACCGCCAGCUAAGGUCCCAAAGUCAUGGUUAAGUGGGAAACGAUGUGGGAAGGCCCAGACAGCCAGGAUGUUGGCUUAGAAGCAGCCAUCAUUUAAAGAAAGCGUAAUAGCUCACUGGUCGAGUCGGCCUGCGCGGAAGAUGUAACGGGGCUAAACCAUG